Molecule: ribosomal RNA, 832 nt
Filed under: uncultured bacterium
Lineage: Bacteria
Description: bacterial SSU rRNA
Rfam family: Bacterial small subunit ribosomal RNA
Source: RNAcentral
GAUCGGAGUGCUUGCACUCUGUGAAACAAGAUACAGGCUAGCGGCGGACGGGUGAGUAACACGUGGGUAACCUGCCCAAGAGAUCGGGAUAACACCUGGAAACAGAUGCUAAUACCGGAUAAUAACAGAUGAUGCCUAUCAACUGUUUAAAAGAUGGUUCUGCUAUCACUCUUGGAUGGACCUGCGGUGCAUUAGCUAGUUGGUAGGGUAACGGCCUACCAAGGCGAUGAUGCAUAGCCGAGUUGAGAGACUGAUCGGCCACAUUGGGACUGAGACACGGCCCAAACUCCUACGGGAGGCAGCAGUAGGGAAUCUUCCACAAUGGACGCAAGUCUGAUGGAGCAACGCCGCGUGAGUGAAGAAGGGUUUCGGCUCGUAAAGCUCUGUUGUUGGUGAAGAAGGACAGGGGUAGUAACUGACCUUUGUUUGACGGUAAUCAAUUAGAAAGUCACGGCUAACUACGUGCCAGCAGCCGCGGUAAUACGUAGGUGGCAAGCGUUGUCCGGAUUUAUUGGGCGUAAAGCGAGUGCAGGCGGUUCGAUAAGUCUGAUGUGAAAGCCUUCGGCUCAACCGGAGAAUUGCAUCAGAAACUGUCGAGCUUGAGUACAGAAGAGGAGAGUGGAACUCCAUGUGUAGCGGUGAAAUGCGUAGAUAUAUGGAAGAACACCGGUGGCGAAGGCGGCUCUCUGGUCUGUUGCUGACGCUGAGGCUCGAAAGCAUGGGUAGCGAACAGGAUUAGAUACCCUGGUAGUCCAUGCCGUANACGAUGAGUGCUAAGUGUUGGGAGGUUUCCGCCUCUCAGUGCUGCAGCUAACGCAUUAAGCACUCCGCC